This 443-nucleotide ribosomal RNA is filed under the name uncultured bacterium. RNAcentral describes it as "partial 16S ribosomal RNA". It matches the Rfam family "Bacterial small subunit ribosomal RNA", at positions 338 to 795 of the family's 1533-position model. The record is from RNAcentral.
CCUACGUGUGGCAGCAGUGGGGGAUAUUGGGCAAUGGGGGGAACCCUGAUCCAGCGACGCCGCGUGAGUGAAGAAGUAUUUCGGUUUGUAAAGCUCUUUCAUCAGGGACGAAGGAAAUGACGGUACCUGACCAAGAAGCCCCGGCUAACUACGUGUCAGCAGCCGCGGUAAUACGUAGGGAGCAAGCGUUAUCCGGAAUUACUGGGUGUAAAGGGCGCGUAGGCGGGUAAGUAAGUCUGGGGUGAAAUGCAGGGGCACAACCCCUGAACUGCUUUGGAAACUAUCGAUCUUGAGUGCUGGAGAGGUAAGCGGAAUUCCUAGUGUAGCGGUGAAAUGCGUAGAUAGUAGGAGGAACACCAGUGGCGAAGGCGGUCAACUGGACAGUAACUGACGUUGAGGCGCGAAAGCGUGGGGAGCAAACAGGAUUAGAUACCCGUGUAGUC